Lemur catta (Ring-tailed lemur) is the source of this 477-nucleotide long non-coding RNA. RefSeq lists it as uncharacterized. The record is from RefSeq and is a predicted model, not a curated record. The transcript has 4 exons. Lineage: Eukaryota; Metazoa; Chordata; Mammalia; Primates; Lemuridae.
GUGUCUAGUGCCUCCGUGGGAGGACAUUGUCACCUGUGUCAACAGCUUUGAAGCUUUAGCUGAAUUUGUGAGAGUAACAUCGAGACUGGUGUUUGACCAACUGGGUGCCACAGACUAGCCAAACUGACCCAUAAAAUUAACCAUCACAGUCAGCUAUCUGAAUGCUGGGUUUUCCUAGCCCUGGCUAAUUCUUGGUACUCUUGACUCUCUUCUGACAGCAGAAAACAAUGAUCAGACAGGUUGAAUGAUUCAAUGGAAAUUUAAUCUGAUAUCAGCCACGUGUAAGAAGCAACCUCAUGUGAACUGGAAUUGUUAUGCUGGGAAUUAUCUGAUUCCUGCAGGCCUCUUGUCCUCAGCCCUGUGAAUGACUACUAAGGGAAUUUAAAGCAUGUGAAAUAGAAUAAAGGUAGAUUUGUUGACUCAGCAUUGAACUGGACAUCUCUCCUUUUUGCAGAGUUUCACUCUGUUGCCUGGGCU